CAAUGUUCAUGUGAAGGGCAAUAAGAACAAGGGAGAGGACGAUUAUGGAGGCAAAGUUGGGAAGAAGAAUAGUAACAAGAAGAACAAUGGUGAUAGUAACAACAAUAAUGAUAGCAAGGAUAAGCAAAGUGCUGUUGACAAGAGGUUUAAGACACUGCCACCAUCAGAAUCACUGCCUAGGAAUGAAACUGUUGGUGGCUAUAUCUUUGUUUGUAACAACGAUACUAUGCAAGAGAAUCUCAAGAG
This 246-nucleotide unclassified non-coding RNA is filed under the name Hevea brasiliensis (rubber tree). Lineage: Eukaryota; Viridiplantae; Streptophyta; Magnoliopsida; Malpighiales; Euphorbiaceae. The record is from RNAcentral.